Molecule: ribosomal RNA, 397 nt
Filed under: Phaloriinae sp. 3 PNG
Lineage: Eukaryota; Metazoa; Arthropoda; Insecta; Orthoptera; Phalangopsidae
Description: partial 12S ribosomal RNA
Source: RNAcentral
UAUUAUUUUAUCUGAWAUAAAAGUAGACUGGAGUAGUAAUAGUUAUGUUCUUGAAACUCAGAGAAUUUGGCGGUAUUUUAGUCUUUUCAGAGGGAUCUGUCCUGUAAUUGAUAAUACACGUUUGGAUUACUUUAUUUUGUAAUCAGUUUGUAUACCGCCGUCAUAAGAAUAUCUUUUUAGAGGGUUUCAAUUUUCUAAAGGUAAGAGUAGAGAGAAUGUCAGGUCAAGGUGCAGCUAAUGAUAAAGUAGAGAUGGAUCACAAUAGCAUUAGUUAUUAUGAAUAAAAUUGAAUAUAUGGUUUUUGAAGGUGGAUUUGAUUGUAAAUUUGUUUUAAAUAAUGAAUUGGUUUUAGCUCUAAAAUGUGUACACAUCGCCCGUCGCUCUCGUUAAAUAUGAG